GGCGGUGCUGAGAUGCCCGUC
This 21-nucleotide unclassified non-coding RNA is filed under the name synthetic construct. The record is from RNAcentral.